Molecule: non-coding RNA, 101 nt
Filed under: Prolemur simus (greater bamboo lemur)
Lineage: Eukaryota; Metazoa; Chordata; Mammalia; Primates; Lemuridae
Source: RNAcentral
GGCCGGUCCAAGUACAGGGAUAUUUACAACUGCUUGAUCACAACCAGUUACAGAUUCUUUGUUCCUUCCCUACUCCCACUGCUUCUGUUGACUAACCUCAA